GUUAUAUGGUCAAGCGAAUAAGCGCACACGGUGGAUGCCUUGGCGGUCAGAGGCGAUGAAGGACGUGGCAGCCUGCGAAAAGUGUCGGGGAGCUGGCAACAAGCUUUGAUCCGGCAAUGUCCGAAUGGGGAAACCCACUGCUUCGGCAGUAUCCUGCAGUGAAUACAUAGCUGCUGGAAGCGAACCCGGUGAACUGAAAUAUCUAAGUAACCGGAGGAAAAGAAAUCAACCGAGAUUCCCUAAGUAGUGACGAGCGAACGGGGACUAGCCCUUAAGCUGGUAUGGUUCUAGAAAAACAACCUGGAAAGGUUGGCCAUAGAAGGUGAUAGCCCUGUAUUUAAAAGGGCCAUUCCAGUGAAGACGAGUAGGGCGGGGCACGUGAAACCCUGUCUGAACAUGGGGGGACCAUCCUCCAAGGCUAAAUACUCCUGACCGACCGAUAGUGAACCAGUACCGUGAGGGAAAGGCGAAAAGAACCCCGGAGAGGGGAGUGAAAUAGAUCCUGAAACCGUGUGCGUACAAGCAGUAGGAGCUCGCAAGAGUGACUGCGUACCUUUUGUAUAAUGGGUCAGCGACUUACUGUUCGUGGCAAGCUUAACCGUAUAGGGGAGGCGAAGGGAAACCGAGUCUGAUAAGGGCGCAUAGUCGCGGGCAGUAGACCCGAAACCGGGUGAUCUAGUCAUGCCCAGGGUGAAGGUCAGGUAACACUGACUGGAGGCCCGAACCCACUCCCGUUGCAAAGGUAGGGGAUGAGGUGUGAUUAGGAGUGAAAAGCUAAUCGAACCCGGAGAUAGCUGGUUCUCCUCGAAAGCUAUUUAGGUAGCGCCUCGGACGAAUACUGCUGGGGGUAGAGCACUGUUAUGGCUAGGGGGUCAUCGCGACUUACCAAACCAUUGCAAACUCCGAAUACCAGUACGUACUAUCCGGGAGACACACGGCGGGUGCUAACGUCCGUCGUGAAAAGGGAAACAACCCAGACCCACAGCUAAGGUCCCAAAUUCACUGCUAAGUGGAAAACGAUGUGGAAAGGCACAGACAGCCAGGAGGUUGGCUUAGAAGCAGCCACCCUUUAAAGAAAGCGUAAUAGCUCACUGGUCGAGUCGGUCUGCGCGGAAGAUUUAACGGGGCUAAGCAGUGAACCGAAGCUUGGGGUGCAUCGCGAUAAGCGAUGCGCGGUAGAGGAGCGUUCCGUAAGCCGUUGAAGGUGGAUUGAAAAGUCCGCUGGAGGUAUCGGAAGUGCGAAUGCUGACAUGAGUAACGAUAAUGCGGGUGAAAAACCCGCACGCCGAAAGCCCAAGGUUUCCUUGCGCAACGUUAAUCGGCGCAGGGUGAGUCGGCCCCUAAGGCGAGGGCGAAAGCCGUAGUCGAUGGGAAGCAGGUUAAUAUUCCUGCACCUCGCGUAAGUGCGAUGGAGGGACGGAGAAGGUUAGGUGUACCGGGCGUUGGUUGUCCCGGGGAAAGGCGGUAGGUUUGGAUCUUUGGCAAAUCCGGGAUCCUUUAAGACCGAGCACCGAGACGAGUCUUUUAGACGAAGUCACUGAUACCACGCUUCCAGGAAAAGCUCCUAAGCUUCAGCUUACGCAGACCGUACCGUAAACCGACACAGGUGGGUAGGAUGAGAAUUCUCAGGCGCUUGAGAGAACUCGGGUGAAGGAACUAGGCAACAUGGCACCGUAACUUCGGGAGAAGGUGCACCCUUUUUGGUGGCUCAUGCGAGCUAUAGCUGAAGAGGGUCGCAGAAACCAGGCCGCUGCGACUGUUUAUCAAAAACACAGCACUCUGCAAACACGAAAGUGGACGUAUAGGGUGUGACGCCUGCCCGGUGCUGGAAGGUUAAUUGAUGGGGUCAGCCGCAAGGCGAAGCUCUUGAUCGAAGCCCCAGUAAACGGCGGCCGUAACUAUAACGGUCCUAAGGUAGCGAAAUUCCUUGUCGGGUAAGUUCCGACCUGCACGAAUGGCGUAACGACAGCGGCGCUGUCUCCACCCGAGACUCAGUGAAAUUGAAAUCGCUGUGAAGAUGCAGCGUUCCCGUGGCAAGACGGAAAGACCCCGUGAACCUUUACUAUAGCUUUACACUGAACGUUGAGUUCGUCUGUGUAGGAUAGGUGGGAGGCUAUGAAACCAUGGCGCUAGCUGUGGUGGAGCCAACCUUGAAAUACCACCCUGUCGUGCUUGACGUUCUAACCUAGGUCCGUUAUCCGGAUCAGGGACCGUGUAUGGUGGGUAGUUUGACUGGGGCGGUCUCCUCCUAAAGAGUAACGGAGGAGCACGAAGGUACGCUCAGCGCGGUCGGACAUCGCGCACUGUGUGCAAAGGCAUAAGCGUGCUUGACUGCAAGAUCGACGGAUCAAGCAGGUACGAAAGUAGGUCUUAGUGAUCCGGUGGUUCUGUAUGGAAGGGCCAUCGCUCAACGGAUAAAAGGUACUCCGGGGAUAACAGGCUGAUACCGCCCAAGAGUUCAUAUCGACGGCGGUGUUUGGCACCUCGAUGUCGGCUCAUCACAUCCUGGGGCUGUAGUCGGUCCCAAGGGUAUGGCUGUUCGCCAUUUAAAGUGGUACGCGAGCUGGGUUCAGAACGUCGUGAGACAGUUCGGUCCCUAUCUGCCAUGGGCGUUGGAAGUUUGAGAGGGGCUGCUCCUAGUACGAGAGGACCGGAGUGGACGAACCUCUGGUGUUCCGGUUGUCACGCCAGUGGCAUUGCCGGGUAGCUAUGUUCGGAAGCGAUAACCGCUGAAAGCAUCUAAGCGGGAAGCGCGCCUCAAGAUGAGACUUCCCGGGGCACAAGCCCCCUUAAGGAACCAUGUAGACUACGUGGUUGAUAGGUCAGGUGUGUAAGUGCAGCAAUGCAUUGAGCUAACUGAUACUAAUGAUCCGUGCGGCUUGACCAUAUAACCUCAAGG
Molecule: ribosomal RNA, 2899 nt
Filed under: Xanthomonas graminis pv. arrhenatheri
Lineage: Bacteria; Pseudomonadati; Pseudomonadota; Gammaproteobacteria; Lysobacterales; Lysobacteraceae
Description: bacterial LSU rRNA
Rfam family: Bacterial large subunit ribosomal RNA
Source: RNAcentral